CGAACGCUGGCGGCGUGCCUAACACAUGCAAGUCGGACGAGAAAGCUCUUCGGAGUGAGUAGAGUGGCGAACGGGUGAGUAAUGCAUAGGAACGUACCAACAAGUGGGGAAUAACAGUUGGAAACGACUGCUAAUACCGCAUGUGGAGUUAUCUAAAGGUGGCCUCUUCUUGAAAGCUACCGCUUGUUGAGCGGCCUAUGUCCCAUUAGCUAGUUGGUAAGGUAAUGGCUUACCAAGGCGACGAUGGGUAGCUGGUCUGAGAGGAUGAUCAGCCACACUGGGACUGAGACACGGCCCAGACUCCUACGGGAGGCAGCAGUGGGGAAUAUUGCACAAUGGGCGCAAGCCUGAUGCAGCAACGCCGCGUGAGUGAAGAAGGCCCUUGGGUCGUAAAGCUCUUUCGGUUGAGAAGAAGGGUUUGGAUGCGAAUAGUUUCCAAACUUGACGGUACCAGCAUAAGAAGCACUGGCUAAUUCC
RNAcentral lists this ribosomal RNA (477 nucleotides) under uncultured bacterium. RNAcentral's name for it is "bacterial SSU rRNA". It matches the Rfam family "Bacterial small subunit ribosomal RNA", at positions 30 to 504 of the family's 1533-position model. The record is from RNAcentral.